This 253-nucleotide ribosomal RNA is filed under the name uncultured bacterium. RNAcentral's name for it is "partial 16S ribosomal RNA". It matches the Rfam family "Bacterial small subunit ribosomal RNA", at positions 524 to 776 of the family's 1533-position model. The record is from RNAcentral.
UACGGGGGGGGCAAGCGUUGUUCGGAAUUACUGGGCGUAAAGGGCUCGUAGGUGGCCAACUAAGUCACACGUGAAAUCCCUCGGCUUAACCGGGGAACUGCGUGUGAUACUGGAUGGCUUGAGUUUGGGAGAGGGAUGCGAAAUUCCAGGUGUAGCGGUGAAAUGCGUAGAUAUCUGGAGGAACACCGGUGGCGAAGGCGGCAUCCUGGACCAAUACUGACGCUGAGGAGCGAAAGCCAGGGGAGCAAACGGG